Chroicocephalus ridibundus (black-headed gull) is the source of this 1799-nucleotide long non-coding RNA. RefSeq lists it as uncharacterized. NCBI's taxonomy places the organism in Eukaryota, Metazoa, Chordata, Aves, Charadriiformes, Laridae. The transcript is spliced from 6 exons. The record is from RefSeq and is a predicted model, not a curated record.
UCUUGUGAACUUUUGGGAAGGAACAAGUAAUUUAGGAUCUGAAGGACACCUAAUUCAAUACCAUCCAAAAUUCGGUAGUUGCCUGUUGUCGGUGCAGAUGUGAAGCUGCAGCGCAGGAGCUCAGAGAGAUGGAACGUCAUACCAUGCUACAUAUUUCAGCUGUCAAGACCUCGGUCAUUUCCCCCUGACAUCUCUUUUCUGAGUUGAGGCUUCCUCCCACAUGGAUACAGGAACUCUGCAGUAGCAAAAUCACUGUAAUGCUUUGUGAGAUCCUGCAUGCCUUUGUGACCAUUCCUGAGCCUUGAGCUGGCGUUUUUAGAGCUCUAUCUGCAGGAGCCCCAAGCAAAAUGAUAGGUGACUCUGAGAGCAGAAGGAAGCACAGAACGCUCACCAAGUGGAGAACUGCACAUGCAGAAGUGCUAAUUGUGUGGCUGGCUGGGAGCACGCAGGAACAGCAGCACGAGCAGUGGAAGGGAAACCCAGAUCUCCCAAGUACCAGACCAGCAGCUCCUCCAAGGAUCACGGGUUUUGCUCUGGUUGCUGCAUGAUGCUCAACUACCCUGUUCCUGAAGUGGGGCGAGUGCUUGCUGCAGCUGAUGGAGAAAACUUCGGCGUUUUGGAGGUAGUUACACUUCCCUGAUCACAGCAAUACGGAAGCUCUUCAAGAAGUGCAUCAUCACAGGACUUGCAUUUGUCUUCUGUGGCUCUGCCUUCUUCCGUGUCCCUGAGGUAACAACAGAGGUGUUUCCUUGCUCUGCUUGGCUAGAGCAUCCUGGUGAGUAGCAGGACCUCCUGGCCUGGUGGAAGGAGGCAGGAGUAUUGUCUCACGAGUGUUGUCACAUCUCAAAGGAGUUUCCCACUGGGAUUUCUGCAGUGAUUUCAACAGCAAGCGGGAGAACUGAGUCUGAAUUUUCUAUGAAGCUGUUGUUGCACAGGUGUCUGUGGAUGCCCAGAAGCCCAGGUGGUCUCCAAAGGAGGCUGGAAAGGUUCUUCCGUCUCAGAGAAGACAUCGCUGGGCUGGACCCAGGACUGUAAUCUAGCCCUACAGUGUUCCGGCAUGUGAAUUUUGCAGGGUCAGAGCUAGCAAACUCAUGCCGUUUGUGCAUUGUUCAUUCACUCCUGUCCACCAACCCCAAAGAAACACGUUUCCCCUAUGAAGAGCUGCCUCCAUAAUGAAGAUACAAAUAAUUAAGAUAAUGAAGAUGACCCAGUGACAGUCCAUUCCUGCUGCCGCCCCGGCACUGGGAGGAGCUGGAGCAUGUGCCACCCGCUCAACAUCCUCAACAACCUCUUGGGCUAAGCUUAGCUUAACCAAUACAAAUAUAUCUGCCGUGUGAACACAAGUGCAUUUAAUCACUGAGAUAAAUUUAAAGUAAUUGCUCAGGUGACAUUCGCCCUUCCAGGGGCAUUUGUGAAUGAGCAGGGGUUUUCUGGGUAACCCCACGCUCUGCCCAGGUGCUGACAGCGACUUUUCCAGACAGCCAAAGCACAAUUCUUCCUUUUGAAUAUCUUCCCUGCGGCCCUUGGAGUGGUUUCAAGUGAAAAACAAAACGGCGACAUUUUAAACAUUGCCUCCCACGCAGUGUCUCUCUUCAGCCUUCGUUGCCGCUUGCUGUGGGUUCAGAAGUCUCUGGUGGAUCAGCCUGCCCCCGAAAAAACGUGGGUUUGCCAAAAUAGAAGCAUUUUUGCAGAAGGCAAUGAUUUGGCUGAAUGUUUUGCCAGCAUGCGUCUCUGGAGUUUGCGAUUUGUUUUAGCAUUUUUGUGUCUUUGUUUAAUUUUGGAUUUCAUUUUCUUGUACA